Molecule: transfer RNA, 68 nt
Filed under: Alouatta macconnelli
Lineage: Eukaryota; Metazoa; Chordata; Mammalia; Primates; Atelidae
Description: tRNA-Asp
Source: RNAcentral
GAGAUAUUAGUAAAAAAAUUACAUAACUUUGUCAAAGUUAUAUUAUAGACUAAACCCUAUAUAUCUUA